GACGAACGCUGGCGGCGUGCCUAAUACAUGCAAGUCGAGCGGACUUUCCGGAGUGCUUGCACUUCGGAAGGUUAGCGGCGGACGGGUGAGUCACACGUAGGCAACCUGCCCAUAAGACCUGGCUAACAUUCGGAAACGAUUGCUAAUACCGGAUACACGGACUUCUCGCAUGAGGGGAUCGGGUAAGGCCGAGCAAUCUGCCGCUUAUGGAUGGGCCUGCGGUGCAUUAGCUAGUUGGUUGGGUAAACGCCUACCCAGGGGGCGAUUCGUAGCCGACCUGGGUGGGGGAUAGGCCGCACUGGGACGGGACCAGGCCCCAGGCGCCUAAGGGAGGCAGCAGGAGGGAAUCUUCCGCAAUGGACGCAAGUCUGGCGGAGCAAGGCCGCGUGAGUGGGGAAGGCCUUCGGGUCGUAAAGCUGUGUUGCGGGGGAAGAACGGGCAGGGGAGUAACUGCCCUUGCCAUGACGGUACCUGAGAAGAAAGCCCCGGCUAACUACGUG
RNAcentral lists this ribosomal RNA (500 nucleotides) under uncultured bacterium. Its description in RNAcentral is "partial 16S ribosomal RNA". It matches the Rfam family "Bacterial small subunit ribosomal RNA", at positions 28 to 507 of the family's 1533-position model. The record is from RNAcentral.